AAUAAAUAACAAUGCCGGGCCUUUGUAGGUCUGGCAAUUGGAAUGAGAACAAUUUAAAUCCCUUAUCGAGUAUCAAUUGGAGGGCAAGUCUGGUGCCAGCAGCCGCGGUAAUUCCAGCUCCAAUAGCGUAUAUUAAAGUUGUUGCAGUUAAAAAGCUCGUAGUUGGAUUUGUGGCUGUCGCUAGUGGCCUGUUACUUAGUGACAGUGCUUGCUGGCGUCGCCAUCCUUGGGUGGAGCCUGUGUGGCAUUAGGUUGUCGUGCAGGGGAUGCCCAUCGUUUACUGUGAGAAAAUUAGAGUGUUCAAAGCAGGCUUAUGCCGUUGAAUAUGUUAGCAUGGAAUAAUAAGAUAGGACCUUGGUACUAUUUUGUUGGUUUGCGCACCGAGGUAAUGAUUAAUAGGGACAGUUGGGGGUAUUCGUAUUCCAUUGUCAGAGGUGAAAUUCUUGGAUUUCUGGAAGACGAACUACUGCGAAAGCAUUUACCAAGGAUGUUUUCAUUAAUCAAGAACGAAAGUUAGGGGAUCGAAGAUGAUUAGAUACCAUCGUAGUCUUAACCAUAAACUAUGCCGACAAGGGAUUGGUGGAGUUUCAUUUUGUCUCCAUCAGCACCUU
Molecule: ribosomal RNA, 611 nt
Filed under: Nitzschia linearis
Lineage: Eukaryota; Bacillariophyta; Bacillariophyceae; Bacillariales; Bacillariaceae
Description: SSU rRNA
Rfam family: Eukaryotic small subunit ribosomal RNA
Source: RNAcentral